CCUGAUAACACAACCUCCUGAUGGUUCCCUGAGACAGGGAACCAAGCCUGCCUAUUCUUUGUGACUCCCACGGUGUCUGCAGCUUUGAAAGGGGACUCGCUCCCGGUGAACGGGCUUGGCAGGCCCCACAUCUCCCAGGAAGCGGGGCACACAGCUUGCUGGCCUUCUUUCCCGUGCCCACAGAACUCAGCUGAUCGGGAGCACGUAGAAAUUUUCACAAGACUAUCACUGCCUCAACUCAGUCUACGAUAGUGCUGGGAGGGCGUACUGGACUGCAGUACCCCCUCUAGAGGGAUCGGAAAAGUUCUAAAUGCCACAGCACAUCCAUAGCUUUUGGCUAAAGUAUAAAGAAUCUGUAGUCUCAGCAACAUAUGGACAAGUGGAGGAGGCCACAAUCAAAGCUGAACACAUAACCAUGUAACUGCUGGGGGCCUCGGUCAAGAAGAAAUGGGUCCACCACGUGCCGACGGUCCUCAAGGCCAGCCUCUGGCCCACCACUGCUCUGGCUCUCAGGAGUUGCUCAGAGUUCCCACUGGGCUCAGAUCUGGGCUCUACCCCCACUUUGUGGGGGACCUCAGUGAGUCAUUGAAUCUUUCUGAGUCUCAUUUGUGAAAGAUAAGAACGCUGGAGAACUGAGAAGCUGGAUCAUUUCUGCAGGCUCCCCCAGCGAGUCGUUUGCAGGUCCAUAUUGGAACCCCAGCACCGGGCUUGGGAGCCCCAGCUCUUAACCACUGAGCUCUCCUGCCUCCUGUUGCCUCUGAGCACCAUGGCUACAGCUGUGAACAGGCGAAGCCCCCACCACCACCACGGGACUUACAUCCUGGCAGGUACCUGGUAUAUAUGCAAACUCUGUCUUGUCUGGUAGAGAUUUAAUUGACUUCCCAUCUCCCCUCCUGGACAAACCAUGUGCUGGGCACCAAAACUGGACUGGAUCCUACUACCUUGGCCAAACUGUCAAUCUUUACCAAAUUUUUUUGAUCCUGUUCGUUUUCUUCAACAUCUGGCUACAAUCCUCCAAACUUUUCUAAUUUUUCUCCCUCCCACCUGACUGGGCAUCACCGAGAACUGAAACCUCACUCCCCAGAUCCUUGCCACGGGCCCUUUCCCCUAGGACCCGAACAAGCCCUGCAAGCUGAAGCCCGACUAUGUGACGCAAGCCUCCGACGGCUCACCACUGCAGCAGACCAUUCAAAGGCCAGAAUUCCCCCCAGCAAGCUGCGUCUGCACCACGAAGGGAGUCCAGCGGAACGUCAGGUCAUACAUUCUCCUUCCUAAGAGGUAACUGAUACAGUGACCAACAGCACAGAGCAUGGAGAGCUUCCAGCAAUGCAGAGUUGUACUGAAGAACCGAGAAUUUCCUCUACCAGUCUCUUGGAAUCCCCUGGACUGCUUAUUCUCAGAAUUCAGCAUCCAGCUCUUUAAUAUAAUCUUUAAUGUUAAUAUUUCCCCUUUUCAUUUCAGGUGCCCUUCACGUAAGAUCCCUGAUCUCCAGAACCCCAAAACAACUGAUCUUUUCACUUCCAGGAGGCUAUUUCUUAGACCCGACUUCACCCUCACAGGGGGCUUACUGCCACCUCCAAGUUGUGUAGCAAUGAAUGAUACUCAUCGUGAACAUAAGUGGGGGACUGACGAUGUGGAACGUCUCCUGAGACUUGUGUUCCCGGAAAGUUACAACCGUUAAGAAAUCCCCCGACCUUUCGUGUCCCAGGAGCCCCUCACCACGAAGGACCAGCUCACCCUUGCGUAUUCCAACAGCCAUCUCCAUCCCUCCUCAUGAGUCCCACGAGCCUCAGAGACGACUUUCUUGUUUAUCUAUAAAACCUAGGCUGCCGUGCUUUCCAUUAAUGAACAUUCUCCUUAUUGCAAUGAGAAAGAAUCAAUGAAUAAAUUUAUUUUUCAGCCUGAGUAAAAUCAUAUCCUUAACUGUCUGGUACAUUUAGUUUUUCAUAUUUUUGUUUCCUCUCAUUUUUAUGGUUGAGUUCUUCCAAUUUCCUUAUCUUUCUAAGCCUCAAUUUCCUCAUCUACAAAGGACGAUUACUUCCGCCCCGGGAGGUGUGAGGACUGAAUGAGAGAAUGCGCGGAAAAGAACCAAGCUAAGUGAAUAGUAAGUGCUGAAAAAGUACUAGUCCUCCUUACAGGAAAACAAUCCGGAGGCAAUAGGUGGCCAGAGAGGGAACUGGCUAAACGAGGCUUAAGUCAGUGCAACUUUAUCUCCAGAAACGGGAAACAAUUCAGAGCAGGUCCUGACACUGAAGUAAACGGCCCAGGGCACGAGCACCAUUUCCUAUGAGCGGAAACUACAGCCGUCAUGUAUGUUGGAAGCACAGCUUCCUUCCCUAGAGGGAGCAGCUACCCUGUUCCGUUUGGGUUUGCAUGUGGUGGGGAGCCUGUUGCCUAUUAACACAAGAUUGUUGGAAAAGUAACUGAGCUUCACAACACGAUGGUGGGGAGUCCCUCAAAGGGCAGCCCUCCUCCUACGUAGGGGUGGGUUGGGGGGUGCCCACAUUGUAGGUUUGCUAAAUACUUAUCCGGGGAGGUCCUGGUGACUCCGGCAGGUGAGAGUGCCAGGCGUGUUGCUUGUGUUUGCAUCUCAGGCCAGAAGAGCACGGGUCUGGGGCCAGGUGAAGGGUGAGAUUUCUGACUGUGCUGUUGAACUUUCCCAUAAUUCUCCCAACUCUUUGUGGAGCCCUUCCUACGUCUGCCGGCAGGGACUGCCAGCUUCCAAACACACCUCAAGGUCCCUGGAAAGGAGGGGGGCCGACAGAGCCGGGACCGUUACGUGGAAGCUUCCAAGUCAAGAACAAAGUCGCCAUCUGACAAUUCAGCUGGAACUCAGAUCGCAUGCAGCAGCGAACACUCCGGAAUACCAGUGUCAGGUACCCAAGUGCAAUGUCAUCAGGAAAACGUUUUCUCCUGAAAAGUGAUCACUGUGGUGCUUUGCAUUAAACUGUAGUCAGCCUGAAUGUAAAAUGAGCAAAUUCUCAAGACCUGCAGAUUUUAACCUCUGAGAAAGUGAGACCUUGACCAAAUAUGGCUCUGCUACUGGCCGCUUUCUCUGACCCACCACCCGGCGGGCCUCGGGGAUGCUCUUUUUCCUCGUA
Manis javanica (Malayan pangolin) is the source of this 3101-nucleotide non-coding RNA. The record is from RefSeq and is a predicted model, not a curated record. Lineage: Eukaryota; Metazoa; Chordata; Mammalia; Pholidota; Manidae.